GGGGACGUAGCUCAGAUGGGAGAGCGCCUGCUUUGCAAGCAGGAGGUCGCCGGUUCGAUCCCGGUCGUCUCCA
Molecule: transfer RNA, 73 nt
Filed under: Pseudomonadota bacterium
Lineage: Bacteria; Pseudomonadati; Pseudomonadota
Also listed under: 1 other name
Description: tRNA-Ala
Rfam family: tRNA
About the family: Transfer RNA (tRNA) molecules are approximately 80 nucleotides in length. Their secondary structure includes four short double-helical elements and three loops (D, anti-codon, and T loops).
Source: RNAcentral